Molecule: long non-coding RNA, 402 nt
Filed under: Equus caballus (horse)
Lineage: Eukaryota; Metazoa; Chordata; Mammalia; Perissodactyla; Equidae
Description: lncRNA (ENSECAG00000054273.1)
Source: RNAcentral
AACCUGUACUUGUAAAGUCUAUGGAUUAUUUUUUUUCUAUAUAGAAGAUCCUAUCAUGUAAAAAUAAUAUCUGCUUUGUCUUUUUUUUUCCAGAUCUAACUCCUCUGAUUUUUUUUCUUUUAUUUCUUUUGAACAUCGGUGAGGACCUAAGGUGGAAAUAUGUGUCUAUUUUGGGCUGGAGUAGUUAAGAAACAGAGAUGCUCUUCCCCAGGUCCAGGACUUCAUGAAACAGGGGGUGACAGCUUCCUGUUUUCUUCAUUCUUUUUGGCUCUGAGCUCGUGCUGUUGCUGAAGCAGAUGCUGGACAGCCCCGCCUGCCCCAACCAGGCUCACCUGCUCCAUCUUCCCCAAGACAGGAGGACCAAUGCCCACUCUUGACAAAGUGGAGAGGGACAAGGCAUGG